This 243-nucleotide ribosomal RNA is filed under the name Escherichia coli. Its description in RNAcentral is "partial 16S ribosomal RNA". It matches the Rfam family "Bacterial small subunit ribosomal RNA", at positions 1 to 240 of the family's 1533-position model. The record is from RNAcentral. Lineage: Bacteria; Pseudomonadati; Pseudomonadota; Gammaproteobacteria; Enterobacterales; Enterobacteriaceae. RNAcentral also lists the same sequence under 1 other name.
AAAUUGAAGAGUUUGAUCAUGGCUCAGAUUGAACGCUGGCGGCAGGCCUAACACAUGCAAGUCGAACGGUAACAGGAAACAGCUUGCUGUUUCGCUGACGAGUGGCGGACGGGUGAGUAAUGUCUGGGAAACUGCCUGAUGGAGGGGGAUAACUACUGGAAACGGUAGCUAAUACCGCAUAAUGUCGCAAGACUAAAGAGGGGGACCUUCGGGCCUCUUGCCAUCGGAUGUGCCCAGAUGGGA